Molecule: ribosomal RNA, 2900 nt
Filed under: Streptococcus pneumoniae
Lineage: Bacteria; Bacillati; Bacillota; Bacilli; Lactobacillales; Streptococcaceae
Description: 23S ribosomal RNA
Rfam family: Bacterial large subunit ribosomal RNA
Source: RNAcentral
UUAAGUUAAUAAGGGCGCACGGUGGAUGCCUUGGCACUAGGAGCCGACGAAGGACGUGACAAACGACGAUAUGCCUUGGGUAGCUGUAAGUAAGCGAUGAUCCAGGGAUUUCCGAAUGGGGGAACCCAACAGGUAAUACCUGUUACCUACAUCUGUUAAGGAUGUGAGGAGGAAGACGCAGUGAACUGAAACAUCUAAGUAGCUGCAGGAAGAGAAAGCAAAAGCGAUUGCCUUAGUAGCGGCGAGCGAAACGGCAGAAGGGCAAACCGAAGAGUUUACUCUUCGGGGUUGUAGGACUGCAAUGUGGACUCAAAGAUUAUAGAAGAAUGAUUUGGGAAGAUCAGCCAAAGAGAGUAAUAGCCUCGUAUUUAAAAUAGUCUUUGUACUUAGCAGUAUCCUGAGUACGGCGGGACACGUGAAAUCCCGUCGGAAUCUGGGAGGACCAUCUCCCAACCCUAAAUACUCCCUAGUGACCGAUAGUGAACCAGUACCGUGAGGGAAAGGUGAAAAGCACCCCGGGAGGGGAGUGAAAUAGAACCUGAAACCGUGUGCCUACAACAAGUUCGAGCCCGUUAAUGGGUGAGAGCGUGCCUUUUGUAGAAUGAACCGGCGAGUUACGUUAUGAUGCGAGGUUAAGUUGAAGAGACGGAGCCGUAGGGAAACCGAGUCUGAAUAGGGCGCCUUAGUAUCAUGACGUAGACCCGAAACCAUGUGACCUACCCAUGAGCAGGUUGAAGGUGCGGUAAGACGCACUGGAGGACCGAACCAGGGCACGUUGAAAAGUGCUUGGAUGACUUGUGGGUAGCGGAGAAAUUCCAAACGAACUUGGAGAUAGCUGGUUCUCUCCGAAAUAGCUUUAGGGCUAGCGUCGACAUUAGAGAUUCUUGGAGGUAGAGCACUGUUUGGGUGAGGGGUCCAUCCCGGAUUACCAAUCUCAGAUAAACUCCGAAUGCCAAUGAAUUAUGGUCGGCAGUCAGACUGCGAGUGCUAAGAUCCGUAGUCGAAAGGGAAACAGCCCAGACCACCAGCUAAGGUCCCAAAAUAAUUGUUAAGUGGAAAAGGAUGUGGGGUUGCACAGACAACUAGGAUGUUAGCUUAGAAGCAGCUAUUCAUUCAAAGAGUGCGUAAUAGCUCACUAGUCGAGUGACCCUGCGCCGAAAAUGUACCGGGGCUAAAACAAUUUACCGAAGCUGUGGAUACCUUUAUAGGUAUGGUAGGAGAGCGUUCUAUGUGUGAUGAAGGUAUACCGUGAGGAGUGCUGGAACGCAUAGAAGUGAGAAUGCCGGUAUGAGUAGCGAAAGACAGGUGAGAAUCCUGUCCACCGUAAGACUAAGGUUUCCAGGGGAAGGCUCGUCCGCCCUGGGUUAGUCGGGACCUAAGGAGAGACCGAAAGGUGUAUCCGAUGGACAACAGGUUGAUAUUCCUGUACUAGAGUAUGUAGUGAUGGAGGGACGCAGUAGGCUAACUAAAGCAGACGAUUGGAAGAGUCUGUCUAAGCAGUGAGGUGUGAAUUGAGUCAAAUGCUUAAUUCUAUAACAUUGAGCUGUGAUGGGGAGCGAAGUUUAGUAGCGAAGUUAGUGACGUCACACUGCCAAGAAAAGCUUCUAGCGUUUAAACAUACUCUACCCGUACCGCAAACCGACACAGGUAGUCGAGGCGAGUAGCCUCAGGUGAGCGAGAGAACUCUCGUUAAGGAACUCGGCAAAAUGACCCCGUAACUUCGGGAGAAGGGGUGCUGACUUUAAGUCAGCCGCAGUGAAUAGGCCCAAGCAACUGUUUAUCAAAAACACAGCUCUCUGCUAAAUCGUAAGAUGAUGUAUAGGGGGUGACGCCUGCCCGGUGCUGGAAGGUUAAGAGGAGUGCUUAGCGUAAGCGAAGGUAUGAAUUGAAGCCCCAGUAAACGGCGGCCGUAACUAUAACGGUCCUAAGGUAGCGAAAUUCCUUGUCGGGUAAGUUCCGACCCGCACGAAAGGCGUAAUGAUUUGGGCACUGUCUCAACGAGAGACUCGGUGAAAUUUUAGUACCUGUGAAGAUGCAGGUUACCCGCGACAGGACGGAAAGACCCCAUGGAGCUUUACUGCAGUUUGAUAUUGAGUGUCUGUACCACAUGUACAGGAUAGGUAGGAGUCUAAGAGAUCGGGACGCCAGUUUCGAAGGAGACGCUGUUGGGAUACUACCCUUGUGUUAUGGCCACUCUAACCCAGAUAGGUGAUCCCUAUCGGAGACAGUGUCUGACGGGCAGUUUGACUGGGGCGGUCGCCUCCUAAAAGGUAACGGAGGCGCCCAAAGGUUCCCUCAGAAUGGUUGGAAAUCAUUCGCAGAGUGUAAAGGUAUAAGGGAGCUUGACUGCGAGAGCUACAACUCGAGCAGGGACGAAAGUCGGGCUUAGUGAUCCGGUGGUUCCGUAUGGAAGGGCCAUCGCUCAACGGAUAAAAGCUACCCUGGGGAUAACAGGCUUAUCUCCCCCAAGAGUUCACAUCGACGGGGAGGUUUGGCACCUCGAUGUCGGCUCGUCGCAUCCUGGGGCUGUAGUCGGUCCCAAGGGUUGGGCUGUUCGCCCAUUAAAGCGGCACGCGAGCUGGGUUCAGAACGUCGUGAGACAGUUCGGUCCCUAUCCGUCGCGGGCGUAGGAAAUUUGAGAGGAUCUGCUCCUAGUACGAGAGGACCAGAGUGGACUUACCGCUGGUGUACCAGUUGUCUUGCCAAAGGCAUCGCUGGGUAGCUAUGUAGGGAAGGGAUAAACGCUGAAAGCAUCUAAGUGUGAAACCCACCUCAAGAUGAGAUUUCCCAUGAUUAUAUAUCAGUAAGAGCCCUGAGAGAUGAUCAGGUAGAUAGGUUAGAAGUGGAAGUGUGGCGACACAUGUAGCGGACUAAUACUAAUAGCUCGAGGACUUAUCCNN